Molecule: ribosomal RNA, 372 nt
Filed under: uncultured bacterium
Lineage: Bacteria
Description: bacterial SSU rRNA
Rfam family: Bacterial small subunit ribosomal RNA
Source: RNAcentral
AUACGGAGGGUGCAAGCGUUAUCCGGAUUUACUGGGUUUAAAGGGUCCGCAGGUGGGGAGGUAAGUCAGUGGUGAAAUACCCGGGCUCAACUUGGGUGCUGCCAUUGAUACUGCUUUUCUUGAGUGUAGAUGAGGUGGGCGGAAUACAGCAUGUAGCGGUGAAAUGCGUAGAUAUGCUGUAGAACACCGAUUGCGAAGGCAGCUCACUAAACUACUACUGACACUCAGGGACGAAAGCGUGGGGAUCAAACAGGAUUAGAUACCCUGGUAGUCCACGCCCUAAACUAUGCUCACUCGACAUUUGCCAAUGGUGUAAGUGUCUUAGCGAAAGCGUUAAGUGAGCCACCUGGGGAGUACGCCGGCAACGGUGAA